UGGGGAAUUUUGGACAAUGGGCGAAAGCCUGAUCCAGCCAUGCCGCGUGAGUGAAGAAGGCCUUCGGGUUGUAAAGCUCUUUCGGCCGGAACGAAAUCGCUCGAGCCAACACCUUGAGCGGAUGACGGUACCGGAAUAAGAAGCACCGGCUAACUACGUGCCAGCAGCCGCGGUAAUACGUAGGGUGCAGGCGUUAAUCGGAAUUACUGGGCGUAAAGCGUGCGCAGGCGGCCUCUUAAGUCAGAUGUGAAAUCCCCGGGCUCAACUCGGGAACUGCGUUUGAAACUGGGAGGCUAGAGUACGGCAGAGGGGGGUGGAAUUCCACGUGUAGCAGUGAAAUGCGUAGAUAUGUGGAGGAACACCGAUGGCGAAGGCAGCCCCCUGGGCCUGUACUGACGCUCAUGCACGAAAGCGUGGGUAGCAAACAGG
This 429-nucleotide ribosomal RNA is filed under the name uncultured beta proteobacterium. RNAcentral describes it as "bacterial SSU rRNA". It matches the Rfam family "Bacterial small subunit ribosomal RNA", at positions 355 to 776 of the family's 1533-position model. Lineage: Bacteria; Pseudomonadati; Pseudomonadota; Betaproteobacteria. The record is from RNAcentral.